AAAGAUGAAUGACGACCGUGUGA
Molecule: non-coding RNA, 23 nt
Filed under: Arabidopsis thaliana (thale cress)
Lineage: Eukaryota; Viridiplantae; Streptophyta; Magnoliopsida; Brassicales; Brassicaceae
Source: RNAcentral